GGAAGAACUUUAUGUUGAAGGUGUCAGAGCACUGGAACAGAGGUCGAGUCUCUGUCUCUGGAGACCUUCAAAACACAUCUGGAGGAGUUCCUGCGUCAUCUGCUGGAGGCAAGAAACAUGCUGACAUUUCAAUAUUCCUUCAACUCAACAGUUCAGAGUACAAUCACAACAAGAAAAGCAACAUGUGUACCCACGAAUAGCCAGAGAUUCAUUUCACUGGAUUUUCCAACUAUUGAAAGACCAUUGAACUCUUACUGAUCGGGAAUUGAACACUGUAGAGAUCCUUUAAACAACUUCUGGUGUUUAGACAGCAUUGGGAGGAGGGGAGUUCACAGUAGACAUAAAAGAUUUUUUUUCUGUGAAGCAGUUCCUGAACUGAUAAAGUUAUCCUGAAAUAAGCAUUUAGGGAAUUUUGUCAAUAAGGACAAUUAAGUGAGUCAAUGGGAACAACCAAAAAGAAUGCAGAAAGCACAGGUGAGUGUGUCUGGAAUUCUUUUUUGCCCUACUAAUUUCUGGAUACUGCUUCCUGUCCUUAGAAACAAGAAAAUCCCAUGUAAAUUGGAGUGAGGCCUUUUCUGGAGAGAGGAAUAGCCAAUACCUCCUUCCAUGGUGUAAAACCCCAAGAAAUUCUACCCAGGCUUUUCUCUGCUUUUCAUGCUUUCCAUACACCUAAAGCUCAGCAGCCCCUUGAAGAUUGUGGCUUUUCCUUUGAGCUAAUGAAAUUACAACAAGCAGCUGUAAGAUUUGGACUAUAUAAGCUAUUUUUCUGUGAGGAAAGAGAGCAUUUUCUUUAUGACUAAAAGAAUAAACAUUGUGAAGAAUAAACAGUAUGAGUAGCUUUAGCUGACGAAGACAGAAAUUUGGGAUAGGCUAGAGGAGUUAUGUUAUAUGCACAUUGAGGAAGAGUAGGAAAGGCAUAAAGUGCCACAGAAAAGAAGAUGUGAGGGAAGUCUAAAAAGGUUUGAAAAUUAUGCCUUAGGGAAAAUCCAAGUUGCUACAAUUUUCAGUUGAGAACUGUUGUAUACAGAACUCACCCAGAAACCAGCUACUGUGAAGCUCUGAUUCAAGGUGUGAGUUUGCUGUGAGAAAUUUUCCAUCCUUGUCAGGAUUUUGCCAACUGCGUCUUGCAAAAAUGUUGCUUCAUCAGUCCAGACCUACUGGGAACUCCAGACAUUUGGCAGAUAUUAGGAUUUUACUUCACUGAAUCACAGAAAGGUUAGAAGAGAGCUCUGGACAUCAUCUAGUCCAACAUACCCCUGCCAAGGCAGGGUCACCUGGAACAGGUGACACAGGAACAUUUCCAGGUGGGUUUGGAAUGUCUCCAGAUAGGGAAACUCCAUGGCCUCCCUGUUCCAGUGCUCUGCCACCCUCAAGGUAAAGACAUUCUUCCUCAUGUGGAGGUGGUUUGGUUUAUGGCCAUUGUUCCUUGUUCUGUCACUGGGUACCACUGAAAAAGAGUCUGGCACCAUCCACUUCCAUGACUAAACCAGGAAAUUUGGUUAAUGUUCUACCAUCACAUUAUAAACUUUAGCUUUGUAUUUUUUUAAUCAUAUGAACCCUUUUCUUUUGAAUGAUGCAAUCCUACGAUCACACUCGGUGAACCCAGAAAAAAUGCUGAACCACGUGAAUUGUGUAUAUGUAAAGGCAAAGUAAUUGGGAGAUAGAUAGAAAAAAAAACAGGAUAAGGCCUCCUUUCUUGCUGUAGUGCUAAGAAAACUCAACAUUGAAGAAUUUAGCAAGAGGUCAUUGAUACGAAAAACAUCAGAUUGCUUUGUAGUAGCAAUGUAUGAAUAACAUGAAACUGCUUCUGAGAGUCAGAAAAAGGAAUAGUUCUGAAGCUCAAUUUUUCAUCUGUCUAAAUAGCAUGGAUAUGCCUUUGGGCAUCUUCAGCUCAGAAACUACAGUUUUUUAAAUAAGUAUUUUUAACUGCAGUGAAGGACCCCUAAAAGCCUACCUAAAUAUAUUCUUGCAAGCAUGAGUGUGAAAUACAUAAAUCCUUUCGUUGAUGUCAAGUCUUAAGCCUCUUUAAAGCUACUAUGGAGGCCCUGAUGAUGAGGAUGCUUGUCAUCAUCUAUUCCUCUACUGACAUCUGGUGAUUAGAGUAAGGGUUGUGGUGUAAAAUUGAAAAAGACAGGAGUGACACUAUCUCGUAGGAUUAUUUUUCUUUUCCUUUUAAUUGCUACUGAGCCAUGCAGGUCCUUCCUUCUUACCAAAGAAAUUGAAAAAUAAACACUGUUAUAUCUUACAUGAUGUUUAGCUGUCUGGCUUAAAAUAAGCAGGUGUCAUCC
This is a long non-coding RNA of Serinus canaria (Common canary), 2288 nucleotides long. RefSeq lists it as uncharacterized. The transcript has 3 exons. The record is from RefSeq and is a predicted model, not a curated record. NCBI's taxonomy places the organism in Eukaryota, Metazoa, Chordata, Aves, Passeriformes, Fringillidae.